RNAcentral lists this ribosomal RNA (1464 nucleotides) under metagenome. RNAcentral's name for it is "bacterial SSU rRNA". It matches the Rfam family "Bacterial small subunit ribosomal RNA". The record is from RNAcentral.
AGAGUUUGAUCCUGGCUCAGAGUGAACGCUGGCGGCAUGGAUUAGGCAUGCAAGUGGGACGCCCCGCAAGGGGAGUCGCGAAAGGGUGAGUAACACGUGAACAAUCUGCCCCGAAGUUGGGAACAACCUUUGGAAACGAAGGCUAAUACCUGAUGUGGAUGCGGCCGGGAUUCCGGCAGUAUAGAAAGGCGCAAGUCGCUUCGGGAUGAGUUCGCGGCCCAUGAGCUUGUUGGUGAGGUAACGGCUCACCAAGGCAGUGACGGGUAGGUGGUCUGAGAGGAUGGUCACCCACACUGGUACUGAGACACUGACCAGACUCCUGCGGGAGGCUGCAGUCGAGAAUCUUCCGCAAUGCGCGAAAGCGUGACGGAGCAAUGCCGCGUGAAGGAUGACGGUCUUCGGAUUGUAAACUUCUGUCGGGGGGGACGAACAAUGACGGUACCCCCAAAGGAAGCCACGGCUAACUACGUGCCAGCAGCCGCGGUAAUACGUAGGUGGCGAGCGUUACUCGGAGUUACUGGGCGUAAAGGGUCCGUAGGUGGCCGUCUAAGUCUGAGGUGAAAGCCUGCAGCUCAACUGCAGAACUGCCUUGGAAACUGGAUGGCUAGAGUGCAGGAGAGGUAAGUGGAAUUUGUGGUGUAGCGGUGGAAUGCGUGGAUAUCACAAGGAACACCAGAGGCGAAAGCGGCUUACUGGACUGCAACUGACACUGAGGGACGAAAGCCAGGGGAGCAAAAAGGAUUAGAUACCCUUUGUAGUCCUGGCUAUAAACGUUGUGCGCUCGUCGUCGGGGUGGUUAGUCGCCCCGGUGACACAGCUAACGCGAUAAGCGCACCGCCUGGGAAGUACGGUCGCAAGACUAAAACUCAAAGGAAUUGACGGGGGCCCGCACAAGCGGUGGAGCAUGUGGCUUAAUUCGAGGCCACGCGAAGAACCUUACCUGGGUUUGACAUGGAGACUGAUACUGAUGAAAGUUGGUAGCCCGCAAGGGAGUCUUCACAGGUGCUGCAUGGCUGUCGUCAGCUCGUGCUGUGAAGUGUUCGGUUAAGUCCGGCAACGAGCGCAACCCGUAGAUCUAAUUGCCAACAGGUAAUGCUGGGAACCUUAGAUCGACUGCCGGUGUCAAGCCGGAGGAAGGUGCGGAUGACGUCAAGUCAGCAUGGCCCUUACACCCAGGGCUGCACACGUGCUACAAUGGCAGGUACAAUGGGAAGCUACCUCGCGAGAGGAUGCGGAUCUCCAAAAACCUGCCCCAGUUCAGAUCGUAGUCUGCAACUCGACUACGUGAAGCCGGAAUCGCUAGUAAAGGGACAUCAGCUACGGUCCCUUGAAUACGUUCCCGGGCCUUGUACACACCGCCCGUCACAUCAUGGGAGCUGGGUUCACCCGAAGGCGCUGCACCAACCGCAAGGAGGUAGGCGACCAAGGUGGGCCUGGUGACUGGGAUCAAGUCGGAACAAGGUA